GGGUUGUGAGGUUAAGCGACUAAGCGUACACGGUGGAUGCCCUGGCAGUCAGAGGCGAUGAAGGGCGUGCUAAUCUGCGAUAAGCGCCGGUAAGGUGAUAUGAACCGUUAUAACCGGCGAUACCCGAAUGGGGAAACCCAGUGUGACUCGUCACACUAUCAUUAACUGAAUCCAUAGGUUAAUGAGGCGAACCGGGGGAACUGAAACAUCUAAGUACCCCGAGGAAAAGAAAUCAACCGAGAUUCCCCCAGUAGCGGCGAGCGAACGGGGAGGAGCCCAGAGCCUGAAUCAGCAUGUGUGUUAGUGGAAGCGUCUGGAAAGGCGCGCGAUACAGGGUGACAGCCCCGUACACAAAAGCGCAUGUGCUGUGAGCUCGAUGAGUAGGGCGGGACACGUGGUAUCCUGUCUGAAUAUGGGGGGACCAUCCUCCAAGGCUAAAUACUCCUGACUGACCGAUAGUGAACCAGUACCGUGAGGGAAAGGCGAAAAGAACCCCGGCGAGGGGAGUGAAAAAGAACCUGAAACCGUGUACGUACAAGCAGUGGGAGCACCCUUUGGGUGUGACUGCGUACCUUUUGUAUAAUGGGUCAGCGACUUAUAUUCUGUAGCAAGGUUAACCGAAUAGGGGAGCCGGAGGGAAACCGAGUCUUAACCGGGCGUUAAGUUGCAGGGUAUAGACCCGAAACCCGGUGAUCUAGCCAUGGGCAGGUUGAAGGUUGGGUAACACUAACUGGAGGACCGAACCGACUAAUGUUGAAAAAUUAGCGGAUGACCUGUGGCUGGGGGUGAAAGGCCAAUCAAACCGGGAGAUAGCUGGUUCUCCCCGAAAGCUAUUUAGGUAGCGCCUCGUGAAUUCAUCUCCGGGGGUAGAGCACUGUUUCGGCUAGGGGGCCAUCCCGGCUUACCAACCCGAUGCAAACUGCGAAUACCGGAGAAUGUUAUCACGGGAGACACACGGCGGGUGCUAACGUCCGUCGUGAAGAGGGAAACAACCCAGACCGCCAGCUAAGGUCCCAAAGUCAUGGUUAAGUGGGAAACGAUGUGGGAAGGCCCAGACAGCCAGGAUGUUGGCUUAGAAGCAGCCAUCAUUUAAAGAAAGCGUAAUAGCUCACUGGUCGAGUCGGCCUGCGCGGAAGAUGUAACGGGGCUAAACCAUGCACCGAAGCUGCGGCAGCGACACUGUGUGUUGUUGGUAGGGGAGCGUUCUGUAAGCCUGCGAAGGUGGCCUGUGAGGGUUGCUGGAGGUAUCAGAAGUGCGAAUGCUGACAUAAGUAACGAUAAAGCGGGUGAAAAGCCCGCUCGCCGGAAGACCAAGGGUUCCUGUCCAACGUUAAUCGGGGCAGGGUGAGUCGACCCCUAAGGCGAGGCCGAAAGGCGUAGUCGAUGGGAAACGGGUUAAUAUUCCCGUACUUGGUGUUACUGCGAAGGGGGGACGGAGAAGGCUAUGUUGGCCGGGCGACGGUUGUCCCGGUUUAAGUGUGUAGGUGUGUGUUCCAGGUAAAUCCGGUUCACUUUAACACUGAGGCGUGACGACGAGGCACUACGGUGCUGAAGCAACAAAUGCCCUGCUUCCAGGAAAAGCCUCUAAGCAUCAGGUAACAUCAAAUCGUACCCCAAACCGACACAGGUGGUCAGGUAGAGAAUACCAAGGCGCUUGAGAGAACUCGGGUGAAGGAACUAGGCAAAAUGGUGCCGUAACUUCGGGAGAAGGCACGCUGACACGUAGGUGAAGUGAUUUACUCAUGGAGCUGAAGUCAGUCGAAGAUACCAGCUGGCUGCAACUGUUUAUUAAAAACACAGCACUGUGCAAACACGAAAGUGGACGUAUACGGUGUGACGCCUGCCCGGUGCCGGAAGGUUAAUUGAUGGGGUCAGCGCAAGCGAAGCUCCUGAUCGAAGCCCCGGUAAACGGCGGCCGUAACUAUAACGGUCCUAAGGUAGCGAAAUUCCUUGUCGGGUAAGUUCCGACCUGCACGAAUGGCGUAAUGAUGGCCAGGCUGUCUCCACCCGAGACUCAGUGAAAUUGAACUCGCUGUGAAGAUGCAGUGUACCCGCGGCAAGACGGAAAGACCCCGUGAACCUUUACUAUAGCUUGACACUGAACAUUGAGCCUUGAUGUGUAGGAUAGGUGGGAGGCUUUGAAGUGUGGACGCCAGUCUGCAUGGAGCCGACCUUGAAAUACCACCCUUUAAUGUUUGAUGUUCUAACGUGGACCCGUUACCCGGGUUGCGGACAGUGUCUGGUGGGUAGUUUGACUGGGGCGGUCUCCUCCUAAAGAGUAACGGAGGAGCACGAAGGUUGGCUAAUCCUGGUCGGACAUCAGGAGGUUAGUGCAAUGGCAUAAGCCAGCUUGACUGCGAGCGUGACGGCGCGAGCAGGUGCGAAAGCAGGUCAUAGUGAUCCGGUGGUUCUGAAUGGAAGGGCCAUCGCUCAACGGAUAAAAGGUACUCCGGGGAUAACAGGCUGAUACCGCCCAAGAGUUCAUAUCGACGGCGGUGUUUGGCACCUCGAUGUCGGCUCAUCACAUCCUGGGGCUGAAGUAGGUCCCAAGGGUAUGGCUGUUCGCCAUUUAAAGUGGUACGCGAGCUGGGUUUAGAACGUCGUGAGACAGUUCGGUCCCUAUCUGCCGUGGGCGCUGGAGAACUGAGGGGGGCUGCUCCUAGUACGAGAGGACCGGAGUGGACGCAUCACUGGUGUUCGGGUUGUCAUGCCAAUGGCACUGCCCGGUAGCUAAAUGCGGAAGAGAUAAGUGCUGAAAGCAUCUAAGCACGAAACUUGCCCCGAGAUGAGUUCUCCCUGAGACUUAGAGUCUCCUGAAGGAACGUUGAAGACGACGACGUUGAUAGGCCGGGUGUGUAAGCGCAGCGAUGCGUUGAGCUAACCGGUACUAAUGAACCGUGAGGCUUAACCUUACAACGCCGAAG
This 2924-nucleotide ribosomal RNA is filed under the name Salmonella enterica subsp. enterica serovar Enteritidis. RNAcentral describes it as "bacterial LSU rRNA". It matches the Rfam family "Bacterial large subunit ribosomal RNA". Lineage: Bacteria; Pseudomonadati; Pseudomonadota; Gammaproteobacteria; Enterobacterales; Enterobacteriaceae. The record is from RNAcentral.